This 385-nucleotide ribosomal RNA is filed under the name uncultured bacterium. Its description in RNAcentral is "bacterial SSU rRNA". It matches the Rfam family "Bacterial small subunit ribosomal RNA", at positions 29 to 412 of the family's 1533-position model. The record is from RNAcentral.
AACGAACGCUGGCGGCAGGCCUAACACAUGCAAGUCGAGCGGCAGCGCGGGGGCAACCCUGGCGGCGAGCGGCGAACGGGUGAGUAAUACAUGGGAAUCUGCCUGGUAGUGGGGGAUAACUCUGGGAAACUAGAGGUAAUACCGCAUACGUCCUACGGGAGGAAAGGGGGGAUCUUCGGACCCUCUCGCUAUCAGAGGAGCCCAUGUCCGAUUAGCUAGUUGGUGAGGUAAAGGCUCACCAAGGCGACGAUCGGUAACUGGUCUGAGAGGAUGGUCAGCCACACUGGAACAGAGACACGGUCCAGACUCCUACGGGAGGCAGCAGUGGGGGAAUAUUGGACAAGUGGGGGCAACCCUGAUCCAGCCAUGCCGCGUGUGUGAAGAA